UAUUCCACAUUUUCUGAUAAUGAGGCAAAAAUACUGGGGAAAAAAAGUUUCAUGAGAGAUAGCAAUAAGAAGAAAACUUUCAGCUGAAGGAUGUCUAGAUGAAAAAAGCAAGAUACACAAUCCCAUUUUAGAGCUGGGCACUGGGUUAUCCCAUGUGCAGUACCUAUCCUUCAGCAUCUAUGUAUCUACAACUUUUUCACAGGUGAGAGUGGAAACUUCCCCAGUCUUUGAGGACUAGGAACUCAUCUAUAAUGCAGGUCAAGUGAGAUGUGACAGGCACCAUCCAGGGUUAAAGAGUAUGACAGAAGUAACCAGGUGAGAACUUUCUUAUAAACUUAAAAUUAAUAUAUAUAUUAUAUAUUUCCCUAGAAGGAAGAUGUUUUCUUUAUUAAUCUGUUCAUCUCUGACACGGGUGCACUGAUUUCAUUGCAUGUCAGAGGCUAUCUGAUUUAAAAGAUGCAGAUA
RNAcentral lists this long non-coding RNA (465 nucleotides) under Manacus vitellinus (golden-collared manakin). RNAcentral's name for it is "lncRNA (ENSMVIG00005000334.1)". The record is from RNAcentral. Lineage: Eukaryota; Metazoa; Chordata; Aves; Passeriformes; Pipridae.